Molecule: transfer RNA, 94 nt
Filed under: Methylobacterium mesophilicum
Lineage: Bacteria; Pseudomonadati; Pseudomonadota; Alphaproteobacteria; Hyphomicrobiales; Methylobacteriaceae
Description: tRNA-Sec
Source: RNAcentral
GGGACCCCUGGUCGGGGGCCUGAUCAUCGGCCAUCUCAGCUGGCCGUGGAUCUUCUGGAUCAAUCUGCCCGUGGGUCUCGUCGCGGCGGGCCUG